Fukomys damarensis (Damara mole-rat) is the source of this 589-nucleotide long non-coding RNA. RefSeq lists it as uncharacterized. The transcript has 4 exons. Lineage: Eukaryota; Metazoa; Chordata; Mammalia; Rodentia; Bathyergidae. The record is from RefSeq and is a predicted model, not a curated record.
GCCUAUAUAUACUCCACCCUGAAAAAACAAACGGGGCCUUGUUACGAAGACAGCAUGAACCUGGGACUACGUCUGUGAGACUGUUUGCUCUCCUGUUCUUCCCUCGAGUUUGCGACCUGCUGGCAGGGCCCGAACAGGGACCUGAGUAAGAGGGACAUCGAGGAGAGCGCCCUGAAAUCCAGGGCACUACAGCAAGAACCGCGACUGAUCCCCACGGCUCCUGACGCUGUGAUCCCCAGGCUUUCAAUUUAGUCUUAGCAGUGGAGUCUGUGUCUAUGCGUGGAGGAGAGAGAAAAUCAGCACUCAGAAGCUCCGUGAUGUGAUGCAAGAUAAGAAGUAGCCACAGAGCCAAAGCAAUGACCUAGAAUUCCACGAGGCAGGAUGGACUUCUAGAGUUGAAGUCUCUGCUGGACAAUUGGCCAUGAGCAUUUCAGUGGGUUACCAAGGGUUCGAUUUCCACCUGUGGAGAACAGAUGAAGCUGAAGAGCAGGCAAAAGUUCAACUUGCUCUGCAAUGAAGAUCUACAGCAAAGACUUAAAGCUCACUUCAGGCAGAUCUUCUGGACUAAAGGUAGAGCCUUAUAAGGAAA